UACGUAGGGUGCGAGCGUUGUCCGGAAUUAUUGGGCGUAAAGGGCUCGUAGGCGGUUUGUCGCGUCGGGAGUGAAAACUCAGGGCUUAACCCUGAGCCUGCUUCCGAUACGGGCAGACUAGAGGUAUGCAGGGGAGAACGGAAUUCCUGGUGUAGCGGUGAAAUGCGCAGAUAUCAGGAGGAACACCGGUGGCGAAGGCGGUUCUCUGGGCAUUACCUGACGCUGAGGAGCGAAAGUGUGGGGAGCGAAUGGG
Molecule: ribosomal RNA, 253 nt
Filed under: uncultured bacterium
Lineage: Bacteria
Description: partial 16S ribosomal RNA
Rfam family: Bacterial small subunit ribosomal RNA
Source: RNAcentral